UUUUUUUAUUUUUGUUUUUCAGAGUUACAUACAUGGAAGCAGUCAGGCUCAAUUUGUUGCAGAAUCACACAUCAUUCUUCUACUGAAUGCUGCUAUUACCAUGGGAAUGGUACUCCUGAAUGAAGCUGCUACCUCCAAAGGGGAUGUCGGGAAGAGGAGAAUAAUAUGCCUGGUAGGCCUGGGUCUGGUGGUCUUUUUCUUCAGCUUCCUGUUGUCCAUAUUCCGCUCCAAAUACCAUGGCUACCCAUACAGGUAAUUUCUCAUUAAAUUCUUAUCUUAUAU
Non-coding RNA from Meleagris gallopavo (turkey), 282 nucleotides. NCBI's taxonomy places the organism in Eukaryota, Metazoa, Chordata, Aves, Galliformes, Phasianidae. The record is from RefSeq and is a predicted model, not a curated record.